GACGAACCGUGCGAACGUUAUUCGGAAUCACUGGGCUUAAAGCGUGUGUAGGCGGGCGGGCAAGUACCUUGUGAAAUCCCACGGCUCAACCGUGGAACGGCUGGGUAUACUGCCUGUCUUGAGCCAACUAGGGGCGAGCGGAACAGACGGUGGAGCGGUGAAAUGCGUAGAUAUCGUCUGGAACGCCAAGGGUGAAAACAGCUCGCUGGGGUUGUGCUGACGCUGAGACACGAAAGCCAGGGGAGCGAACGGG
RNAcentral lists this ribosomal RNA (253 nucleotides) under uncultured bacterium. RNAcentral describes it as "partial 16S ribosomal RNA". It matches the Rfam family "Bacterial small subunit ribosomal RNA", at positions 524 to 776 of the family's 1533-position model. The record is from RNAcentral.